This 499-nucleotide ribosomal RNA is filed under the name uncultured bacterium. Its description in RNAcentral is "partial 16S ribosomal RNA". It matches the Rfam family "Bacterial small subunit ribosomal RNA", at positions 28 to 507 of the family's 1533-position model. The record is from RNAcentral.
GACGAACGCUGGCGGCGUGCCUAAUACAUGCAAGUCGAGCGAAGUUUUUCUGGUGCUUGCACCGGAAAAACUUAGCGGCGAACGGGUGAGUAACACGUAAAGAACCUGCCUUAUAGACUGGGACAACUAUUGGAAACGAUAGCUAAUACCGGAUAACAGCAUUAACUGCAUGGUUGAUGUUUGAAAGUUGGUUUUGCUAACACUAUGAGAUGGCUUUGCGGUGCAUUAGCUAGUUGGUGGGGUAAAGGCCUGCCAAGGCGACGAUGCAUAGCCGACCUGAGAGGGUGAUCGGCCACACUGGGACUGAGACACGGCCCAGACUCCUACGGGAGGCAGCAGUAGGGAAUCUUCCGCAAUGGGCGAAAGCCUGACGGAGCAACGCCGCGUGAGUGAAGAAGGAUUUCGGUUCGUAAAGCUCUGUUGUUAGGGAAGAAUGAUUGUGUAGUAACUAUACACAGUAGAGACGGUACCUAACCAGAAAGCCACGGCUAACUACGUG